GAUGAACGCUAGCGGCAGGCUUAAUACAUGCAAGUCGUGGGGCAGCAUGAGUAGCAAUACUUGAUGGCGACCGGCAAACGGGUGAGGAACACGUACACAACCUUCCUUCAAGCGGGGAAUAGCCCAGAGAAAUUUGGAUUAAUACCCCAUAAUAUAUUUGAUAAGGCAUCUUAUUAAAAAUUAAAGCUUCGGCACUUGAUGAUGGGUGUGCGGCUGAUUAGAUAGUUGGCGGGGUAACGGCCCACCAAGUCUACGAUCAGUAGCUGAUGUGAGAGCAUGAUCAGCCACACGGGCACUGAGACACGGGCCCGACUCCUACGGGAGGCAGCGGUAAGGAAUAUUGGACAAUGGACGAAAGUCUGAUCCAGCCAUGCCGCGUGAAGGAUUAAGGUCCUCUGGAUUGUAAACUUCUUUAUAUGGACGAAAAAAGGGCAAUUCUUGUUCACUUGACGGUACCAUAUGAAUAAGCACCGGCUAACUCCGUGCCAGCAGCCG
RNAcentral lists this ribosomal RNA (495 nucleotides) under uncultured bacterium. RNAcentral's name for it is "bacterial SSU rRNA". It matches the Rfam family "Bacterial small subunit ribosomal RNA", at positions 28 to 517 of the family's 1533-position model. The record is from RNAcentral.